AUUGAACGCUGGCGGCAUGCCUUACACAUGCAAGUCGAACGGUAACAGGUUAAGCUGGCGAGUGGCGAACGGGUGAGUAAUGUAUCUGAACGUGCCCAGUCGUGGGGGAUAACUGCUCGAAAGAGCAGCUAAUACCGCAUACGACCUGAGGGUGAAAGCGGGGGAUCGCAAGACCUCGCGCGAUUGGAGCGGCCGAUAUCAGAUUAGGUAGUUGGUGAGGUAAAGGCUCACCAAGCCGACGAUCUGUAGCUGGUCUGAGAGGACGACCAGCCACACUGGGACUGAGACACGGCCCAGACUCCUACGGGAGGCAGCAGUGGGGAAUUUUGGACAAUGGGCGCAAGCCUGAUCCAGCCAUGCCGAGUGCGGGAAGAAGGCCUUCGGGUUGUAAACCGCUUUUGUCAGGGAAGAAAAGGUUCUGGCUAAUACCUGGGAAUCAUGACGGUACCUGAAGAAUAAGCACCGGCUAACUACGUG
Molecule: ribosomal RNA, 477 nt
Filed under: uncultured bacterium
Lineage: Bacteria
Description: partial 16S ribosomal RNA
Rfam family: Bacterial small subunit ribosomal RNA
Source: RNAcentral